AAUUAAUUAGCUUAUAAAAGCAAAUAUUUUGAAAAUAUUUUAAAGAUAUAAAAUUAUCUAUUAAUUU
Molecule: transfer RNA, 67 nt
Filed under: Sphecodes ephippius
Lineage: Eukaryota; Metazoa; Arthropoda; Insecta; Hymenoptera; Halictidae
Description: tRNA-Ser
Source: RNAcentral